Synchiropus splendidus (mandarinfish) is the source of this 2731-nucleotide RNA transcript. It is a transcript of the gene named H-2 class I histocompatibility antigen, Q9 alpha chain-like, with no coding region annotated. The record is from RefSeq and is a predicted model, not a curated record. The transcript has 6 exons. Lineage: Eukaryota; Metazoa; Chordata; Actinopteri; Syngnathiformes; Callionymidae.
CCAGUUCCAGAUCAUGGGUGGGUUUUUAACUGAUCCAUUUCCUGGAGGCAAGUGUGAGCAGGUUAGUUUUGUUUCUUGUUCACAGUUCACACUCGUCCAAUGUCUCACGGUCAGGAUCUAAGAUGGGACUCUUCCUUCUUUUGGCUCUUUUGGGGAUUGAUGGCGCAAAUGCAGGGAUUCACUCUCUCAUCUAUCAAGCAACUGCAUCAUCUGGAGUUCAUCACUUCCCAGAGUAUGUGGAGGUUGGUUUGGUGGACGAUGUUGUGUUCAGUCACUACGACAGCAACAGCAGGAGAGUUGAACCCAAACAGGACUGGAUGACCCGACUCACUGAUGAUGAUCCGGAAUAUUUAGAAAGAGAGACACGGAGGUGCAGGGAUGACCAGAGGAGCAGAAAGAACCUCAUGAGGGAGGUUCAAAAAAGAUUCAACCAGACUGGAGGUGUCCACACACUUCAGGUGACACACAGCUGUGAGAGGGACAAUGAGACUGGAGAGGUCAGAGGUCAUUAUCAGUACGCUUACGAUGGACAAGACUUUCUAUCGUGGGACCUCAAGACUUUGACAUGGAUCGCAGCGAAUCAACAGGCUGUCGACACCAAACACCAAUGGGACAACGAUGAAGGUCGUAACAAAUAUCUACAGUACUACCUGAAGACCCACUGUCCUGCGCAUUUGAAGAAGCUUCUGGACUAUGGGAAGAGCUCCAUCCAGAGAACAGAGCUUCCAUCAGUGUCUCUCCUCCAGAAGACUCCGUCCUCUCCCAUCGUCUGCCACGCUACAGGCUUCUACCCUCCACGAGCCAAGUUGUUCUGGACCAAAGACGGAGAGGAGCUUCACCGAGGUGUUACAAUUGAAGAGGUCCUCCCCAACCCUGAUGGAACCUACCAGAUGAGGGCCCAGCUGAAACUGCCAGACCCGUCUGAAGACUGGGAGAGGUUCACCUGUGUGUUCCACCUUGAAGGUGUAGAGGAAGCCUUGCUCACCAAACUGGACAAAGAGGCCAUUUUAACCAACGGGAAGCCAGAGGACCAGACCGUCCCCAUCGUUGUCUCAGUGGCAGCUGUUCUCAUCAUCUUCACUGUUAUUGGUCUUUAUUAUUGUUCUCUUGCUUCUGUUGGAACGGACCGGUCCACAAGAGCAGGUGAGAAGACAGGAGCAGACUUGAGUGACGUUGACCAAAUCAUUCACAAACAGAAGGCAACAAAGAUCCAGAGACACAAUGUUCCACCACAAGCUUGAUGGCUUCACACGUCGAACACAAAAACCAGUCUGGUUGAACUUCAGUGAAGGUCCAUCAACGUUGUGAUGUUCAAAGUUGUUGUUUUCUUUUUCAGGCAAAAGACAAAGAAUUGACUCCAACAGUUCUGCGAUAGAGUUGCUUUCAGACAACUAGCAUUCAGUCUCAUUGGGGCGUCUGCAGCAAGAAGGUCCUGCGUGAGGUGAGUGGUGACUUGAUGUUGUGCAGCUGUUUGUUCUCAGAAUGUUGGAGACACAAUGUGGACUGAGUGAAGCAGAUCAAGAGAGUGACUCCCAGUAGAAACCUGGAGUUCAUGUCUACACUGCAAAGAGUUGAAUCAACUGAACUGACUCUGAUGGACUUGAACAGACUCGUGUCUCAUGACAGACAUGAACAGUCCUUAACACUGGUUCCAACAGACUCUCGUGAAUUCAAACAUCUUCUCUCAGGACCUCACUGAACUCAUGUCUUCAUUUCAGUGACUCAACCCAUGAGUACGUCUAUCUAAUGGUCUCCGUUCAGCUGUGACUCGUCGUUUACUCGACUGAACUCUAAUGUUCUCUAGAUGACUGAAUCGACUGUGUGUCCUGAUAAGUUUCAUAGAACUUAAGUUCAACUGUAACUCUCAAGUUGAUCUUCAUCAGCAGGACUGUUGCCAUGGUGAUAUUCAACAUGAAGAAAUGUUUAGUUUGACUGCAGCAGAGUCACAGAUGAUUCUGUGAGGAUUUCUCUUCUCACUCAAAUCCAUCCUCUCUUCACUUUCAGCUUGAAGGAGUGUCACAGGGAAAGAAGAGUGGAGACAUCCGUUUUCAAAACUAGAACUAGAGGAUUGCUAGAAGUGAUCUUCAUGCAUUUUCUGUGGCACAGACAGCAACAGUGCACCCGCGGCUUAUAGACCGGUGAGGCUUAUGUCCGAAAAAAAUCUAUUUUCCUACUUAGAUUUCAUGGGUGUGGCUAAUAUCCCGGUGCGCUUUAUCGUCAGGAAAAUACUGUAUAUUUUUUUAUUCACCAUAUUUUUAUGCUGGCGUUGUGUUUGAGUUGUCAUAUCUUUGCUUUGUACACCAGUCUGUGUCAGGCUGUUGCACUACCUCCAUUCCUGCUGCAACAGACCAGUAACAAAACAGGUUUUAUUGGAUUCAAGCACAAAAUGCAAAGUUUGGGGUCGAGAUGUAAUUUUUUGGGAUAAAAUGUUUGUGAUGAUCACCUUGUUCCAGACUGCUUUGAUCUUAUGGCAUUACCAUAUACAAAGGAACAACAUACCUCUCGGUAUACCACAUUUAAUACAGGUAUCAGGUAAACUUGUGCAAUUUGAAUGUGUUUUUUGUAUGAGAUUCCCUCUCUCUCACGCCCCCUGCUGGUUCUUCAAACUGUAGUUUGCAGACAGUGGAUCAGACCCACAGCUUGCGCUCCUUACCACUACCACUAGAUGGCGGCCUUUCAACCCCUGAGCUAUUGGUGAAUCUCUCCAGCAGGUGCUGCAGAACACAGCAAA